RNAcentral lists this ribosomal RNA (300 nucleotides) under uncultured bacterium. RNAcentral describes it as "bacterial SSU rRNA". It matches the Rfam family "Bacterial small subunit ribosomal RNA", at positions 333 to 648 of the family's 1533-position model. The record is from RNAcentral.
UCCAUCCUACGGGACGCAGCAGUGGGGAAUAUUGGGCAAUGGAGGCAACUCUGACCCAGCAACGCCGCGUGAAUGAUGAAGGUCUUCGGAUUGUAAAGUUCUUUUCUAAGGGAAGAAGAAAGUGACGGUACCUUAGGAAUAAGCCUCGGCUAACUACGUGCCAGCAGCCGCGGUAAUACGUAGGAGGCAAGCGUUAUCCGGAUUUAUUGGUUUUAAAAGGUGCGCAGGCGGAAUGUCAAGUCAGCGGUAAAAUUUCGGGGCUCAACCCCGUCGUGCCGUUGAAACUGGCGUUCUUGAGUG